This is a long non-coding RNA of Mytilus californianus (California mussel), 1210 nucleotides long. RefSeq lists it as uncharacterized. Lineage: Eukaryota; Metazoa; Mollusca; Bivalvia; Mytilida; Mytilidae. The transcript is spliced from 3 exons. The record is from RefSeq and is a predicted model, not a curated record.
AGUUUAUACUUCAGGUGUGUAAUUAAAAAAAAAUGUAUACGUAAGUAGCUGGAAAUUUUCAAUCUUCAUAAAGAAAAUGAGAAAUACUGUCUUGAAUCAAGACUUUCUUAAUUGUUUUAUAUUUAUAAGGAAUGCUUAUAAUAUAACCGACGUACGUGAAACAUCAAGAUUUCGAUACUAAAUAGAACAACAAAACAUUCAAUAUGGCGCGCAUUGAUAGUUGGAAGUCACUGAAUGUUCUCAACAAAUGUCUUUUAUUAUCAACUACAGUGGCAAUAUGUUCGCUUUCUCAUGGGAACUUCUACUCAAUUUUGGAUAACAGAUCAUAUACCUGAAAAUGCAGUGUCGUUUACGGAGAAUUUUUACGUUCCCUCAAAAAAUUUAAAGCAUGACUGAAAAUGAUCAGUACUUUGGACUUUGGCAGUGGUGUAUCGGAGGGAACGGUUGUAUUGUAUUGAUUUAGGUUGGAUGUCCAUGUUUAUAUCCAACACGGAUUGGCAUGCAUGGCCAUAACAACUUAAUACACUCAUAGGUACAUGCACACUUUGAAACAAAACAAUAAGGAAUGAUCUACCAGUUCUACAUAGAGUACGUUUAUUGAAAUUUUAGAUGUCAUUACAAAAGAGACAAAAGGAACAUAAGAUCCAACAACAAAGGCUUUAUUUAAAUUUGAUGCUUUGACCUUAUAUGAACUUCCGACUACCUGAGCUAUUUUGACAAUCAACAUACGCAGGAUAUGGAAUGUAAACAAUUGAAUAAUUCUAUGAGUAUUUAUAUAUGCACAGACAUCAUAUGCAUGAUUUAUGUGACAAUAUAGAGGGGAUACAGCAUUAUUUUGUGAAUUUGACAUUUCAACUGAUUUUAUCCAUCUAAGGAAAUUUGUUUGUUGACAUCCUAGAGAAAUGCACUUUAGGAGUUUAUUAAUCACAAGCAUAACACUUUUAUAGUUUAUAAAAGCUGUAGAUUUUGUGUAAGAUUUCAAGGACCGCUUGAGCUGAAACAGUUUUCUGCCUAACUGAAAACGGUCUAAGCGAAUAUUAAAGGACAUAUCAACAGAUACUUUUAAAGUGAUAUUGAUACAGUUUAUGAAUACAGUACCAAUUUCAAAGGACAUAAAAGUGUAUGUUUCAGAUAAGGCUCUGGUUUUAUUCUUUUAAAAAAAUGCUUUUACAUUCUAUUAAUUUAUAUUCCAGACAGUCUUCAUAUAGAG